UGAAAGCAACACAGGUCUCUAUGAGAGCAACACAGGUCAUUUUGAAAGCAACACAGGUCACUUUGAAAGCAACAUGCAUAUGAAAGCAACACAGGUCACUUUGAUGGCAACAUGAACAGGAAAGCAACACCGGUCACUACAUCUUGAUCUAAUAAAUCUGGAAUGCUCAAAAAUAUAUUUGACCGAAAAAGUUCAACAAACCGACCCUUCAGAGUCAUUUCCUGUACUCAUAAAUGUAUUUAUCAAAACUUACGGGGGUAUUAUUGGGAGCAACAUAUGAUUUCAGUGGAAAUCAAAUCCAAUAGCAUGCUUACCUCACAUUUCACAAAAUGUGCCCCCCAGCUAUGCUCUUGUUUUGAAACGAGCCUCACAACAAGUUCUUCACCUCUACAUUCAGGACAGGGGAUCAACGGAAGAUGCUUAUCCAGAUACGCCACAUCAAUAUCAUCCACCGUAAGAUGCUUGGUCGUCUUAGACUUGUUCGGCGUACCAAGGGAGCUUCCCUGCGACAUCCUCCCUGAACACGUCGGCUUACACUUGUUCGGCAUAGCAAGGGAGCUCCCCUGCGACAUCUUCCCUGACCACGUCCACGUCAAUCUCACACCUUCGAUUCAGGGUCAGUGGCAGAGCUAAGAAUCAGUAUCUGAGCAUUCGUUGUGAAAAAAUAACAGAAGUUAUGCAAUGUAAUAGCAAAUGUGUGAGAUUGAGCGAAUGACCAUACAUCCACAAUCUACUACCAAGAGAGGGCAGAUCCAAAUCAUCAUCUACACCGUUCUAUCACAAAAUCUGAAUGUCAAAUCCUUCCGAUGUUGAGCACCAACGACAUUGAGCGCACCACCGAUACACUAAUCCCACCUAUCCAACACUAAUUAGCACCGUACACCACACGCCCCCCCUGAAAAAGAAACCCUGCCCUCUCCCCCGCUAUGGAACAAAACCCGCAUGAUCUCUUCCUCCGCCUUGCACUCAUCUCCCUCCUCCAUGCCACCACUCGCACAGCACAAACGCGCCGCUAUCCACCCACUCCGGGCACUUAUAAUUUAAAGAAUAUAUACCCGUAAAAGUAAUAGAUAAUCUAGAAAUGAAUCACAAUAACACAAAUGGUCACACAAUAACAAAAAUGUUUUCUUAUGAUAACAUAACACAAAUUAUAAGCAAUGCUUCAGCCUCAAAUAUGAUAGUUCCAAACAAUAUUUGAGCCUCAAAUAUUCAUAGAUACAACAAAUAUGAUAGUUCCAAACGGUACAUAAACUCAAAUAUGAUAGUACCAAACGGUACAUAAACUCAAAUAUGAGAGUUCCAAACAAGACAAAGAAUCAAAUAUGAUAGUUCCAAACAAGACAUAUUUUUAUGACCGGUUUGGUCUAUAACCGGAAGAGGCCCACCGGGCAUUAGUAUUAGGCGCUUGACCCACAAGUUAUCUUAGGCAAGUUAUUUUUGGCAAGUUAUUUUAGGCUAAAGUUAUAAAUACUAGUUGUAAGACAUCGUUUGAGAUCAAGCAAUAAAGAUAUUAUCAUCUUCUGUUGCCAGGCUCCCUGAGGAGCCGGAACCCUAGCCGACACCAGCCAACCGCUGCCGCCCCUAAACCCUAGCCGCGACGGCGCCCACUCGCCGGUGCGCCCGCUCCAGCCCUCGUCCACCUCCACCUCAUCCCUACAACCUACGUAACCGCGCUGGUAGGAACCCAAGUCCUACCAAUUUGGUAUCAGGUACCCGGGUUUCGACCAUGUCUUCGCCACCUCCAAUUCCGCCACCGCCGCCAUCACCGCCGCUGCCCGUCAACUCCACCACUGCCACUACCGCCAACUCCUCCACCGCCGCCGCUUCCGUGCCGGGCGUCACGGCUUCGCUCUCGGCUGGCGCCACGGCGUCGCUCUCGGCGCCGACCCUCCCGGCGACCGGCACCGCGCCAGGCCACAGGCGGCAACCGACCCCCGUCCAACAUACGCCGCCGCCGUCACCUCCCCCGCAGCCGCAGCAGUUCACACAGGAGGCAAUGGCCGACGUCCUCAACGACCUAGUCGCCGCGGUCCAGGGCAUCCACCUCUACCUUGCAAGUCCGUACGGGCCGCCUCCACCACUCCAUCCAGCCAUGGCCGCAGGUCCGCAGGCGCUGCCGUGGUACUCGAUACCAGGGGCCAUCACCGGAGGCUACCCGGCGCUCCAUGCCCCGGCGGCCGCACCGCCGCCUUGGCCGGAGUGGCCGCCGCCGCUCGCGACGGCAACCGCGCCACUCGUCGCCACCACGGGGCCGCAGUGGCCCACCUGGACCGCGCCGGCUGCGCCGUCUCCCGCCGCGCCGUCACUCCCAGUGGCCACGGAGCAGGGUCCUCCACCGCCCCAUCCCAGCCCUAACUUGGGCUAGUCGUCGCCAAGCGGGCUUCCGAUCCAGGAGGUCCGCUUUUCGUCAUUGCCAUCGCCACUCCCGACUGGCUUCACGGGCCGCCAUCGGCCUACCCGGGGGCCCGUCCGCCGUUCGGUUUCCCGGUGCAGCCCGAGGCGUCGGCGCCACCGGGAACUACGCCGGGCCUUCCACCAUGGACCGCGCACCAUCAUCCACCCUACGCACCGCCGAGACAGUGGGCCAGGGCGCGCCACACCAGCAGCCGCCCCGGUUCGCUAAGAUCGACUUCGCCACAUACGACGGCUCCAACGACCCGCCUAACUGGCUCAACCAGUGUGACCAGUUCUUUCGCGGACAGCGCACACCCGCGUCGGAGCAUACUUGGCUGGCUUCCUACCAUCUCCGCGGGACCGCCCAGACAUGGUACUACGCCCUCGAGCAGGACGAGGGUGACAUGCCCCCAUGGGAUCGUUUUCGAGAGUUGUGCCUUCUUCGUUUCGGACCACCGGUCCGCGGGAGCCGCUUGGCCGAGUUGGGCCGCCUGCCGUUCACCUCCACGGUGCAGGACUUCGCCGACCGCUUCCAUGCCCUGGGGUGCCAUGCGCCCGGUGUGACGGCCUUACAGCGGGCAGAGCUUUUCAUCGGCGGCCUUCCCGACCACAUCCACGUGGAUGUCGAGAUGAAGGGGCCCCAAGACCUCCAGACGGCCAUGUACUAUGCCCGAGCGUUCGAGCAGCGCGCCCAGGCCUUAAAACGUCCAUCCGCGCCACGUGGGGGCCGACAGCUUCCCCGGUCGUCUCCGGCAGCACCGGCGUCGUCCACAGCCGCCCCGGCACCCACCCCGGCACCGACGUGGCUAUUCAGGCGCCUCACUCAGGCGAAACAGCUGGAACGCCGGCGCCUGGGCUUGUGCUUCAACUGUGAUGCGCCCUAUGCACCGGGCCAUGUCUGUCCCCGCCUCUUCUACUUGGAGACGACAGACGAGAUUGAGGAGGACACACUGGAGGAUGGCCUCGGCGCUCCAGCCCUUGCGGAGCCCACAGCGGCACCCGUGGCCGCCCCGGCCACCGCCCUCAUGGUGUCCCUACACGCGCUGGCCGACAUCCGUGAUGAACGGACAAUGCUCUUACCGGUCAUGAUCGAGGGCGAGCGCCUGGUGGCCCUCGUGGAUACAGGGUCCACGCAUAACUUCCUGCCGGAGACCACCAUGCGGCGCCUUGCAUUACAGCCAACCGGUGGUGAGCAGUUGCGAGUCACAGUCGCUAAUGGCGACCGUCUCCGCUGCCACGGGCUCGCCCGCGACGUGCCCAUCACUAUCGGCGACGAGCACUUCACUGUCACCUGCGCCGGCAUCAACUUCGGCUGCUUCGACUUCAUCCUCGGCGUCGACUUCCUGUGCACUCUUGGUCCUAUUCUAUGGGAUUUCGACGCGCCGACGAUGACCUUCUGGCGGUUGGGCCGCCGCAUUCGGUGGGACGGCAUUGGGGAUGCCUCCCCAACCACUCCGCUCUAGCUGGCCGCGACCACCGCCACGGCCGAGCACCCACUAUUGGAGAGCCUCCUCCAAUAGCACGCGGACAUCUUCACCGAGCCACAGGGGUUGCCGCCCGCCCACACGUACGAUCACCGUAUACAUCUUCUGCCAGGCUCCACGCCGGUGGCGGUACGGCCUUACCGCUACCCACAGUUGCAGAAGGAUGAGUUGGAGCGGCAGUGUGCGCUCAUGCUCGCGACAGGCAUCAUCCGGCUCUCCACUUCGCCAUUUACCGCACCGGUGCUUCUCGUCCGGAAGUCAGACGACACAUGGCGUUUCUGCAUCGACUACCGUGCCCUUAAUGCUGUCACACUUAAGGACAAGUUCCCUAUUCCGAUGGUCGACGAGCUCCUCGAUGAGCUCCAUGGGGCGCGCUUCUUCACCAAACUCGACCUCCGGUCGGGUACCACCAGGUGCGCAUGCACCCGGAUGACAUCGCCAAGACGGCGUUUCGGACUCAUCACGGCCACUUCGAGUUCUUGGUGAUGCCCUUUGGCCUCACCAACGCCCCGGCGACCUUCCAGGCUCUGAUGAACAACGUCCUCAGGCCCUACUUAUGCCGGUUUGUGCUUGUUUUCUUUGAUGAUAUUCUAAUCUACAGUGCGUCUUGGGCCGAGCACCUCCAGCACAUCGCCAUCGUCUUCAACGAGCUUCGAGCGCACCACCUCCACCUUAAGCGCUGGAAGUGCUUGUUCGGGACGCCUUCAGUGGCCUACUUGGGCCAUGUCAUCUCGGCCGACGGGGUGGCUAUGGACGCCGACAAGGUGGCAGCCGUCUCCGCAUGGCCGACGCCUCACUCGCCGCGGGCUCUCCGCGGGUUCCUCGGCCUCGCCGGCUACUACCGGAAAUUUAUCCGGGAGUUCGCGCUCAUCGCGGCACCCCUCAUGCGGUUGCUUCGCCGCUACGCUUUCGCCUGGGACGACGAGGCGACGAUGGCGUUCGAGGCCCUCAAGGGGGCCCUCAUGACGGGCCCCGUCCUCCAGAUGCCCGACUUCGACCGCCCGUUUGUGGUGGACUGUGACGCCUCGGGCGCAGGGUUCGGCGCCGUGCUUCAUCAGGGCGAUGGGCCCCUUGCCUUCUUCAGCCGGCCUUUCGCUCCGCGUCAUCUUAAGCUGGCGGCCUAUGAGCGGGAGCACAUUGGCCUUGUACAGGCCGUUCGUCAUUGGCGGCCGUACUUGUGGGGACGGUCCUUCCAGAUUCGCACCGACCACUAUAGCAUGAAGUUUUUGCUGGACCAACGGCUGUCGACCGUGCCGCGGCACCAGUGGAUCAGCAAGCUCUUCGGCUUCGACUUCUCCAUCGAGUAUCGGCCGGGCCGCCUUAACACCGUGGCCGACGCGCUGUCUCGUCGCGACUCCGACCUUGCUUCCUCCGCCGACGAGUCUGCCGGGGCGGCCCUCUGCAUCCGCUUCGGGCCGACAUUCGGCCUCUUCGCCGACAUUCGCCGCGCCACUGCGACGGCCGACGACGCCGUCCAUCUUCAGCAGCAGCUCACGGCCGGCGACCUGGAGGAGCCUUGGCGCUUCUCUGACGGACUGCUCCUACAUGGGCGCCGAGUCUUUGUUCCGGCGCAGGAUGAUCUUCGUCACCAGGUGUUACAACUCGCCCACUCGGCGGGUCAUGAGGGUAUGCAGAAAACCCUCCAUCGUCUUCACGCCGACUUCUACAUCCCUGGCGAUCGCGCCCUGUUCCGCGACUGGGUUCAGUCUUGUCAGACAUGCCAGCGCAACAAGACAGAGACCCUCAGGCCGGCCGGGUUACUCCAGCCCUUGGAGGUGCCAUCUCAGGUCUGGGCGGAUAUAUCCAUGGACUUCAUUGAGGGCCUUCCCAAGGUGGGCGGCAAGUCGGUCAUCCUCACGGUGGUCGACCGUUUCUCCAAGUACGCCCACUUCAUAGCGCUUGGCCAUCCAUACACGGCGGCGUCCGUGGCCCGGGCCUUCUUCGACGGCAUCGUCCGUCUACACUGGUUCCCUGCUUCGAUCAUCAGUGAUCGAGACCCAAUGUUCACGGGCCAUGUCUGGCGCGACCUCUUCAGGAUGGCGGGUGUCCAACUCCGCCUGAGUAUGGCGUUCCAUCCUCAGACGGACCGUCAGUCCGAGGUGGUUAACAAGGUCAUUGCCAUGUAUUUGCGUUGUGUGACAGGUGAUCGGCCUCGCGCUUGGGUGGACUGGCUCUCUUGGGCGGAGUACUGCUAUAAUACCUCUUAUCACUCCGCCCUGCGCGCUAUGCCAUUUGAGGUGGUCUAUGGUCGACCACCCCCGCCUAUACUUCCGGUGGAUCCGGAGACAGCCCGGACGGAGGUUGCAGGUGACCUCAUCCGCACUCGUGACGAGAUGCUUGCUGAGGUUCGUCAGCGUCUCCUUCAAGCCCAGUAGCUGGCCAAGCACUACUAUGACGAUAAUCAUCGUGAGGCGGAGUUCGCGGUGGGUGAUUGGGUGUGGCUGCGUCUUCUCCACUGCUCUACGCAGUCACUCGACCCGCGCGCGAAGCGCAAGCUCGACCCUCGUUACGACGGGCCCUUCCCUAUCUUGGAGCGCAUUGGGAAGGUGGCCUAUCGUCUUCAGCUUCCAGCACGCGCUUGCAUGCACGAUGUCUUCCAUGUGGGGCUGCUCAAGCCUUUCCGUGGCGAGCCACCGGCGGCUCUUCCGGUGCUUCCUCCCAUCGCCGAUGGUCGCAUUCUUCCAGAGCCGACAAAGGUGUUGCAGGCGCAGCUCCGUCGUGGCGUCUGGUUCAUCCUCGUUCAGUGGGCAGGCCUUCCGGAGGAGGAGGCUACUUGGGAGCAGCGUGAAGAAUUCUGCCAACACUAUCCAGACUUUCAGCUCAAGGACGAGCUGUUUGCGCAGGCGGGGAGAGAUGUUAUGACUGGUUUGGUCUAUAACCGGAAGAAGCCCACCUGGCGUUAGUACAAGGGGCUUGACCCACAAGUUAUCUUAGACAAGUUAUUUUAGGCAAGUUAUCUUAGGCUAAAGUUAUAAAUACUAGUUGUAAGACAUCGUUUGAGAUCAAGCAAUAAAGAUAUUAUCAUCUUCUGUUGCCCUGCUCCCUGAGGAGCCGGAACCCUAGCCGACACCAGCCAACCGCCACGCCCCUAAACCAUAGCCGCGACGGCGCCCACUCGCUGGUGCGCCUGCUCUAGCCCUCGUCCACCUCCACCUCAUCCCUACAACCUACGUAACCGCGCUGGUAGGAACCCUAGUCCUACCACAUAUACUCAAAUAUGAUAGUUCCAAACAAUAUUUCCUAUGCUUAUGCUUGUUCUCAUCAUCAAUAAAACUGCAUAGGUCCCCUGGUCACCUAGCUAAUGCAAGAGCACAUGUUUCAGCAAACAAUUUAGUCGAAACAAUUAUUUUUCCUCUUCCUUCUUUUAUUUUCUUCAGUUAUCCACUCAACCAACUACAACCGAUCCGACAUUGAGCUGUAAAGUUCACUUAUCUAGAUGUAAAACAUGGCAACAAGACACCACAUGCAAAUUUGAGGGGAUUUUGGACACAUACCUAGAAUCAGCCAG
This 7386-nucleotide long non-coding RNA is filed under the name Triticum aestivum (bread wheat). RNAcentral describes it as "long non-coding RNA (TAES_LNC028309)". Lineage: Eukaryota; Viridiplantae; Streptophyta; Magnoliopsida; Poales; Poaceae. The record is from RNAcentral.